GACGAACGCUGGCGGCGUGCCUAAUACAUGCAAGUUGAGCGCUGAAGGUUGGUACUUGUACCAACUGGGUGAGCAGCGAACGGGUGAGUAACGCGUGGGGAAUCUGCCUUUGAGCGGGGGACAACAUUUGGAAACGAAUGCUAAUACCGCAUAAAAACUUUAAACACAAGUUUUAAGUUUGAAAGAUGCAAUUGCAUCACUCAAAGAUGAUCCCGCGUUGUAUUAGCUAGUUGGUGAGGUAAAGGCUCACCAAGGCGAUGAUACAUAGCCGACCUGAGAGGGUGAUCGGCCACAUUGGGACUGAGACACGGCCCCAACUCCUACGGGAGGCAGCAGUAGGGGAUCUUCGGCCAUGGACGAAAGUCUGACCGAGCAACGCCGCGUGAGUGAAGAAGGUUUUCGGAUCGUAAAACUCUGUUGGUAGAGAAGAACGUUGGUGAGAGUGGAAAGCUCAUCAAGUGACGGUAACUACCCAGAAAGGGACGGCUAACUACGUG
RNAcentral lists this ribosomal RNA (497 nucleotides) under uncultured bacterium. RNAcentral's name for it is "partial 16S ribosomal RNA". It matches the Rfam family "Bacterial small subunit ribosomal RNA", at positions 28 to 507 of the family's 1533-position model. The record is from RNAcentral.